Molecule: ribosomal RNA, 401 nt
Filed under: uncultured bacterium
Lineage: Bacteria
Description: bacterial SSU rRNA
Rfam family: Bacterial small subunit ribosomal RNA
Source: RNAcentral
GGGGAAUAUUGCACAAUGGGCGAAAGCCUGAUGCAGCAACGCCGCGUGAGUGAUGAAGGCCUUCGGGUUGUAAAGCUCUGUCUUCUGGGACGAUAAUGACGGUACCAGAGGAGGAAGCCACGGCUAACUACGUGCCAGCAGCCGCGGUAAUACGUAGGUGGCAAGCGUUGUCCGGAUUUAAUGGGCGUAAAGGAUGCGUAGGCGGAUACUUAAGUCAGAUGUGAAAAUCCCGGGCUUAACUUGGGAACUGCAUUUGAAACUGGGUAUCUAGAGUGCGGGAGAGGAAAGUGGAAUUCCUAGUGUAGCGGUGAAAUGCGUAGAGAUUAGGAAGAACACCGGUGGCGAAGGCGACUUUCUGGACCGUAACUGACGCUGAGGCAUGAAAGCGUGGGGAGCAAACA